This 305-nucleotide ribosomal RNA is filed under the name uncultured bacterium. RNAcentral describes it as "bacterial SSU rRNA". It matches the Rfam family "Bacterial small subunit ribosomal RNA", at positions 337 to 658 of the family's 1533-position model. The record is from RNAcentral.
CCCUACGGGGGGCAGCAGUGGGGAAUAUUGCACAAUGGGGGAAACCCUGAUGCAGCAACGCCGCGUGAAGGAAGACGGUUUUCGGAUUGUAAACUUCUGUUCUUAGUGAAGAAGAAUGACGGUAGCUAAGGAGCAAGCCACGGCUAACUACGUGCCAGCAGCCGCGGUAAUACGUAGGUGGCAAGCGUUGUCCGGAAUUACUGGGUGUAAAGGGAGCGCAGGCGGGAAGCCAAGUCAGCUGUGAAAACUACGGGCUUAACUUGUAGACUGCACUUGAAACUGUAUUUCUUGAGUGCUGGAGAGGC